Molecule: microRNA precursor, 66 nt
Organism: Pan paniscus (pygmy chimpanzee)
Lineage: Eukaryota; Metazoa; Chordata; Mammalia; Primates; Hominidae
Source: Ensembl
GUUGGUGCAAAAGUAAUUGCGGUUUUUGUCAACGGAAUGGCAUAAACUGCAUUUACUCUUGCACCA